RNAcentral lists this ribosomal RNA (235 nucleotides) under uncultured bacterium. RNAcentral describes it as "partial 16S ribosomal RNA". It matches the Rfam family "Bacterial small subunit ribosomal RNA", at positions 102 to 339 of the family's 1533-position model. The record is from RNAcentral.
ACGGGUGCGUAACGCGUAUAGAACCUACCUUUUACUGAGGGAUAGCCCAGAGAAAUUUGGAUUAAUACCUCAUAGUAUUAUUGAGUGGCAUCAUUUAAUAAUUAAAGGUUACGGCAAAAGAUGAGUAUGCGUACCAUUAGUUUGUUGGUAAGGUAACGGCUUACCAAGACUACGAUGGUUAGGGGUCCUGAGAGGGAGAUCCCCCACACUGGUACUGAGACACGGACCAGACUCC